GGGCCCGUAGCCUAGCAGGACAGGGCGCCGGCCUUCUAAGCCGGAGGUCGCGGGUUCGAAUCCCGCCGGGCCCGCCA
RNAcentral lists this transfer RNA (77 nucleotides) under Thermococcus waiotapuensis. RNAcentral describes it as "tRNA-Arg". It matches the Rfam family "tRNA". Rfam says of the family: Transfer RNA (tRNA) molecules are approximately 80 nucleotides in length. Their secondary structure includes four short double-helical elements and three loops (D, anti-codon, and T loops). RNAcentral also lists the same sequence under 1 other name. The record is from RNAcentral. Lineage: Archaea; Methanobacteriati; Methanobacteriota; Thermococci; Thermococcales; Thermococcaceae.